This 468-nucleotide ribosomal RNA is filed under the name uncultured bacterium. RNAcentral's name for it is "partial 16S ribosomal RNA". It matches the Rfam family "Bacterial small subunit ribosomal RNA", at positions 28 to 507 of the family's 1533-position model. The record is from RNAcentral.
GACGAACGCUGGCGGCGUGCUUAACACAUGCAAGUCGAACGGAAAGGCCCUGCGUUUGUUGGUUUCUCGAGUGCCGAACGGGGGAGUAACACGUGAGUAACCUGCCCUUGACUGUCGGAUAUCUUCAGGAAACUCGGGCUCUUAUCGGAGAGGAUCUCCUGCUGCAUGGUGGGGGUUGGAAAGUUUCGGCCGUUGUGGAUGGACUCGCUGCUUAUCAGCUUGUUGGUGGGGUAGUGGCUUCCCAAGGGUUUGACGGGUAGCCCGCCUGAGAGGUUGACCGGGGACCAGGGGACUGAGAGACGGACCAGAAUCCUACGGGAGGCAGCAGUGGGAAAUCUUACAGAGUGGGCGGACGCCUGAUGCAGCGACGCUGCGUGCGUGAUGCCGGGCUACGGGUUGUGAACCACUUUCGCCUGUACCGUAGAGUGAGUGACGGUACUGGGUAAAGAAGCACCGGCUAACUACGUG